Pseudonaja textilis is the source of this 137-nucleotide non-coding RNA. The record is from RefSeq and is a predicted model, not a curated record. NCBI's taxonomy places the organism in Eukaryota, Metazoa, Chordata, Lepidosauria, Squamata, Elapidae.
CUUUUUCUUCUAACAAAAAUGGAUAAGAAAGGAGUAACUCUAGCAAAGAUGAUUAAUAUUUAUGCACAUGUUUAAAUUUGUAUUUUUUGUUAUGUAUGCACCACAUUCAUUGUUUUUAAUGUUUUUUUCUGUUUGUU